ACGGUCUUUAUCAUUUGCAUAUGGAUGCGAGUGUUAAUAUAAUGAGCAAGUUCUGAAUAUUAUAAAAUCUAAGAGACUUAGAGAUAGAAUUAGUUAAAAGUAUCUAUGGCAUCUUAGGCUAGGCUAUAUAGGAGAGGACAGACUUAACAAACUGGAGAAAGAUAUGAAGGGAAAGAAAGUCUGUUUCUAGUGGAUAACAAGGGCUGCAUCU
Molecule: long non-coding RNA, 211 nt
Filed under: Elaeis guineensis (African oil palm)
Lineage: Eukaryota; Viridiplantae; Streptophyta; Magnoliopsida; Arecales; Arecaceae
Description: long non-coding RNA (EGUI_LNC065132)
Source: RNAcentral